Molecule: long non-coding RNA, 670 nt
Organism: Mytilus californianus (California mussel)
Lineage: Eukaryota; Metazoa; Mollusca; Bivalvia; Mytilida; Mytilidae
Exons: 4
Source: RefSeq, a predicted model, not a curated record
GUUCCAUUGCAUUGGUAAAUUGUUUCCUUUUGGAUGACUUAACAACAGUUCAUAUAUUCGUGAGUCCUAACGGAUCUGACACCAAUAGAGGACGAGAUAUCUGGAGUCCUUUGCGUACGAUAGAGAAAGCACUUUUGCAAAUCAAUGAACCUGCAACAAAGAAUAAAGAUGUUAUAAUUGAAUUAAGGUCAGGAUAUUACGAGUUGCAGUCUACUUUGAAAAUUAAACACACAGGACCUAGGCGACUGACAAUUAGAGCUUCUCAUGAUCAAGAUGUCCAUAUUACCGGAGGCAAACGGAUAUCGUCAUCAGAGUUUAAAAGAGUUACAGAUUCAAUGGCUUGGCAAAGAUUACCUUCUACGUCCAGGAAUAAAGUAACUUAUAACUUAGUAAUACGAUGAAUGAAGGAAAUGUGAUUUAAAUGAACUGAAAUGAGUUUUGGAGUCAUUGUUAAACUAAUAUAAUGAUGAAUGCAUUGAAUCUUAAACUGCUUGUAAACUAGUUUAACCCUCCACAUUUGUAUGGGCGUGUCCCAUGUCAGGAGCUAGUCAAUAGUUGUCGUACAUUUUAUUUUAAUGUUUUUUCGUUAUUUUCAGAAUUGGGUGUGAAUAUAAGAUCUGUGUUUGCUUCAGUUAAAUUCAUUUACUAUAUGUAUAGACUAGGGACGAUU